CCGGGAUGAGAAGGAGCAUCUUCGAUGACAUGAGGGAGAUCAAAGUUGAUGCCUUUAAGAUUAGGGUACUUAGAGACAAUCAUUUUGAGAGUAGCACCAAUGCCACCCCCGACAUCAACCAAGGAGACCAAACCCUCAAAACCAUUAUAGGUCUCAAGAAUCUUCUUCAUGGUGAUGGUGGAAUGGUUAGACAUUCCAUUGUUGAAAACCUUGUUGAAUCUAAGGUCAGUCCCAUGGUACUCAAACGCGCUCAUGCCAUAAGCUUUAUUGAAUGGAAUCCCACCAUCAAGAAUUGCAUCCUUCAAAUAGUACCUGCAACAAAACUCUUUGGCAUGAGUUUAACAAAACAAACAAACAAUCUCUCCUUUAGCUUAACUAACCCAUCAGCAUUUUUCUUAAAAGAUCAAUUAAGUCUUUAUCACUAAUUAUAAAUCUGUUCUGAAAUUGUAUGACACAAUUUGUAUUUAUAUUAUAACUUAUUGAAAACUAUCAAAUAUAUAUUAUAUUGUUGAGACAUAGUGUUUUCUAAUCCCCUAUAUACAGUAGAAUCUCUAUAAAUUAAUACUCGAUAAAUUAAUAAUCUCUAUAAAUUAAUAAAUUUUCUCGGUCUCAACUUGAGUCUAUUCAAAAUUUGACACAAAUCGAUAAAAUAAUAAGAUAAUAAUUUUUUUUAGAAAAAUUUAUGCAAAUAUAUGAUCCCAUUAAAAUCAUAAAAUAAUAAUUUAUAUGUAUGCAUAUUAUAUAUAAAUAAGUACAUAUUAUUAUAAUGUUUUUUAUAAUCACAAUGGAAUUAUCUUUAUAUUUUCUUAACACUUAAUAUUUUUGAUGAGAUUUAGUAAUAUUAUAUUUAAAACCACAUUUAAGUUCUAUGAAAUAUAUAUUAUAUAUACACCAAAUAAUAUAAUAUAAUUAAUAUAAAUGUCAAUUUCAGAAAAUGACGAUUAAUGUCUAUACACUAAAAUCAAAUAUUUUUCUUAUCUAAGAAAUCUAAAUAAUGAAAAUUUUAUAAAUUAAUAUCUCUAUAAAUUAAUAAAAUUUGAAAUUCCCAACAUUAUUAUAUACACCAAAUAAUAUAAUAAAAUUAAUAAAAAUGUCAAAUUUCAGAAAAUAACGAUUAAUAUCUAUACACUAAAAUCAAAUAUUUUUGUUAUCUUAGAAUAAAUAUAUCUUAAAAUACGAAAUUUAAAUAAUGAAAAUUUUGUAAAUUAAUAUCUUUAUAAAUUAAUAAAAUUUCAAAAGUCCCAAUAUUAUUAAUUAUAGAGGUUCUACUAUAUAUUAUUUGAGGAUCAUUUAAAAAGAUGUAACUUUCUAUUUUGCAUUAAUUACAUUUUAAUUUUACUGAGUUGUCAACAUUUUCUUUUAAAUCACUAUAUUUGAUUAAGUGGCAGUCUUACAACUAAUUUGGACAAACUUAGACCAACUUUUUAUUCUCUAGAAAAAUUUAUUAAUCAGACAUAUAGUAAAUUCACAACUAUCUUUAUGCCUAUCAGUUAAUUAACUACACAUAUAAAUAUAACCUUAGACGAACAAUUUUUUUUGACAACAUUAAAAAGUAUUCUUACACAACUUAUAUGACCCACUGCCAUAUCCCUUAUACAAAUUAAACAUAAUAAUAAUUGUCUGCAUUGUUUUGUUAAGAUAGUUAUACGUUGUUAUGCUCAAAACAUAUUUGUUUCAACUGUUUUAUUAUUCUGUACUGUCAUUUACAGAAUAAUAUUUCGUUGGUUUUGAAUUGUAUGUGGGGGCAUGUCCAAAACAUCUAUGUAGGAUGAUGGUGCAACGCCACAUGUAGUUGGUUAAUCCAUUUUAGUUGGAGUAUUCAACUAUAUUUUAUACCGGACCAGAUCAAAACAAUGAUCCGUCGACUGAUUAGAAGUCAAUUAAUUUUUUUAUUAGCUUAGAGAGAAAAUGUACACCAAAUACUAAAUCAAUACACGUUAUAUACAAGUUGACUUCAAAUCUGUAUUUGGCAAUAUACAACUCAUUUGUGUUAAAUAAAAAAUAUCUUUCUUACUAUUUUUUGUUUCAAAGUAUAUAUGAUUCAAAAGAUAUAUCGUCAUAAAUAUAUCCUAACAAAUAGGAAAAAUCAAUAUAUUUAUGGAAAAUAUGAAAGUAUAUAUUCCAAAAAAAUUAUUCUUUGAAGAAAUUAUAUCAAACAUUAUAUAUUAUGCUCGGUUAUUACUUUGAAAGAUGGGAUCUAUUUUUAAAAAUUAUUUUAGGUUUAAUUAUAAAAUAAAAAAAACUUUGAUUAUAUUAAAUACAAGUUAGUACAACAAACACUUUCGCAAACUAUAUAUGUAUGAUCUAGUCUUUGAACUAAGGGUGGUCAAUCCAGUAAAACUGAACCGAAAUAGAAAAAGUGAUUUAGAUUUGAUAAUGCUGUAUAAAUCGAACAUAUGUUAUUUUUAAAAACCGUGGUAAAUGAAUAUGAUUCAGUAUAUAUAUUAAUCUAACCAAAUAAAAAGAUUAAAAUAUAGUAAUAUAGUUAUACAUAGUUCAUUUUUUAGGUAUGAUUUUAAUAUUUAAAACGUUAAUUUGAAUAAUUUUUUAUUUUAACUAAAGACUUUCAUUGACAUACAUUUUUGCUAAAUUUUAGUUAUUUAUAUUAUUAAUCUUUUUGUUUUCAUCUCAUGAAAUUAUAAUAUUAUAAUUUAUUUGUUAGUUAUUUUGAAUAUUUAAAUAAAAUAGAAACAUCAUAUUUAAAAAUUAGAGUACUUUUUAAUAAAUUCAAAUUUUAAUCAUGCAAAAUUAAAAUGAAAACAUAUUAUAAAAUAUAAAUAUAGUUUAAGUUUUUGGUAUAAAAAAGACUGACUGUAUAUAGCCCGAACCAAACCAAAAUAUAUAUGGUUUUAAUAUGGUAUCUAAUUCUUAUAAACCGAAAUACCACAAAACUGAACUGAAACCGGAUCGAAAUCUGUAUUGAACAACCUUACCUGACAUAUAUAAUUUUUACACUCGUCUCAAUAUACGCAAAGCGUGGAUAUCAACCCGGUAAAUUAGUAUUUAACUAAAUAAUCGGUUAUUAGUUUUCCCCCGGUAAAAAAAGCAGCAUUAGUUUUCUCAAUAUAAUUCUUAAACUUAAAUAGUAUUACUUUCGGAUUUGUAACUCUUUGAACAGAGUUAGAUAAAUUAUUUACAACGGAGGGAAUAACCAUUGUGUUUUCUUUAUACAACGUAAACUGAUCUUGAUUGUGGCCACACGUAAUAUUAGAUCGAUAAAUGGACGCUCUAAAAGCAAGUGAUGGUAUGGCCAUCUUAUUGAUGACCAAUCCAACAUAGUACCCCGUACUUUGAAUUUAUGCCUUUUUAUCUAUUUUUAUUUAUAUAUUAUUUUUCCUAUAAUUUAUUGUAAAAUUAUUUUGUUCUCCAGUCUGUUUAAUCGUUGUAACAAAUGAUAUGACCCGGUAUAAUUUUGGUGCAGUGACAAAUUAAGGUCUUUGCACUGUGUGGAUCUCACUUAUGUAUAUUAUUAUUAAGUACAUCAACCAAGAAGCAUAACUUAUAAAAAUUAUAUAUAUUAUGUCGUAUUAUAUGUUUAGCAUAAUAAGAUAUAUCAACAGAACUGAUAUGAUAAUUUUCGGUGUGGCUUCGUAAAUACUUACCAGCUUCCCAUGAAGACCUUGUCAUGAUUCAGGAGACAAAGAGCAGCUAUCGAGACACCAUCUUCGUUCUUGGUGAAAUAUUUGCAAACUGGACCAAGCCCGCAAAGCCGGUCGGCGCCGUCGGGAAGUGUACGGACGGAGCAAGUGAGGACGGAGUAAGCCGUAAGAAGACGGAGGAUACGGUCAAGCAUGACCGGAGCUUCGGGGUUUUUGGUCGGAAGAUGAGAAGAGAUCUCAGAUGCAGACAUGGGAGAACAGUUCCUGGCCAUGAUCUCUAGAAGAUCGAGCUCUAUAACUGAUUUUAAAGCCAUAGGGAGAACAGAGGCACUGGCUAACUGUAUGGCAAAGAGAGCAGUUUCGUCGUCGGUGACUUGCACUGGAGUUGACUGUGUCUGUGCCGUUGAGCCCAUUUUCGUGAAAUUUCUGAGAUUUUAGAAUGCUUUGUUUUUGGGUUUCGAUGUGUGAUAUGUUAGAAGUGGUCUAUUAUAUAGGAAAUAUGCAUGGGUUUAGGUUUCGCAACAUGCCGUGCUGUAACGUAUGUCCAGUCCACCGCUAGAUGUCUAAUCUCUCGUAUAUUUUAUAUCUGUAACGUAUUAUUGAUUUUAUACUUUAAGUUUGUACGGAUUUAUUUUUAGGCCAGUUGCUUAUCAAACAAACUCAUAUUAUAUAGAGUUAGACUAAAUAUUUAUGUUAGAUUUUUUUCGUCUAAUAUCUGAUUCGAGACUUGGAUUGUCUAUAUAUCAUAUCAAUUCUCCUCUCAAACAAAUGACCACUUAGCAUUAACUUGCUGUGAUAAACUAUAUGCUUUCAUAGGCCAAACGAUCUACUAGAAUUAGGUAUCUAUCACCACUAGAUAUCAAACCAUUUGUUUAUUAUGAUAUCUGUCCGCUUUAGAUCUAAAUCCUCGUAAUUUUAUUUUUGGAUCGUUUUAUCAGGAAGAUUACACUAAGUGAUACUAGAGAGAAUAUAUAUAUAUAUAUAUAUAUAUAUAUAUAUAUAUACACACUUUAUGGUCUAGUAUCGAUGCGAGAUCUGGAUUGUAUAUUUAUUAUAACAAUCCUCCUCGUAAACAAAGGAUCACAAAAUAUUUUCCUCAUACCAAUUUUUUUGUAACAUACCAAAUUUCUUUUAAGCCAAACGUUUUUUUUUGCAACACUUUUUUAUUUGGAAAAUGGCCCAACGCUCUCCUAAAACUAAAUAUUCAUCAUCAGAUAUUCAAUUUCUCACAUAAUAUGAUAUUUGUUCGUUUUUUUUAUGAUAUAUGAUAUUUGUUCGUUUAAAGCCUAAAGUUUCACUGAUUUGUUUGUGAAUUGAUUGCUUCUCAAAAACCUCAUACUAAAUGGAGCUAGACCAAACUUUUUAAGUGGAACAGUACAUAUCUGCAUUUUAAAACAUAUCCAAAAUAAUCCAAUAAAAACAACAUAAAAUUUUUAUUUGUAAAAUUUAGUCGAUAUAUAUACACUUAAAUCAAUUCAUCUUCUUAUUUUUACAUCAAUAUAUAUACUUCAAAAUAUAUAAAUUUUUGAAAAUAAUCUCUUAAAUAAUUUAAUAUUAUAAUUUUAUAAUCAUUAAUUUAUAGAAUUUUUACUAUAGUUUACCAUAUUUUUUGUCACUAAAUAUAGUUUACCAUAAAACGUUAUUUUACCACCGUUUUUCGCUAGCAAAGAUGUUUUCUUUUAUCUUUGGUUGAUCCAAGCCAUCACCAAUAUAGAAUGCAAAUCAUGGAACUUUUCUGUAUCCUCCAAGAUAUCUAUGAGCUUGCACGAUGCUUUACCUAUUUCUCGUUUAGUUUAUCUAUGAGCGUUCAUUUAUCGCAGUGUAACUCUAUCCUUCUAAUAUAUGUUAAUUUGUGUUCAAAAAAAUGUUUAUCUUCUGGUAUUAAGGCUUGUUUUUUGGGUCUAAAUGUUAAAAUUAUUAAGGCUUGUUGUUCCUCAUUUCCCAAGUUUAUUACUCUUUCAAACUGUAUACAUUUAAGCGUAGGCUGUUAAAAACUUAUUGUGGUUAUCUUUUACACAAAUAAAUUCGCGGUUUCACUCAUAUUAACAUAAAAUAACAGCCAUUGACCACAAAGAAUAAUAGUGGUUAUAAAUUCUACAAGUAUAAAAAUGUCAAAUUAGAUAAAUUUUCAAAAGCAAACCAACAAUUUGAUUCUUAUGGCAACAAAAACACAUACAAAUAAUUAGACUAUAUAUGUAAAAGAAAUAUCUUUAACCAUUUCUCUCGGUGACAGAGACAACCAAAGUACAAAGACAAUGACGCACUCGUUACUCGAUCAAAUAGAGUCCACACGUCCUACCUAAGAGCACCCUCGACCCAAAUACCCAACUUGGGUUUCUUAUUUUUUUUUAUUUUUUUUUAUUUUUAUUUUUUUUUGCUGAUUUAAAAAAAAAAUAAAUUAAAAAUAAACUAAUCGCGGACCGCCACGUAUCAGUGGAGCCCGCGAAACAGUACAAAAAACGUCCCUUAUUUCGCGACAGAAGACACGGUCUCCCCCUUUUUGGUGGGGCCCACACCACCUUUUCUCCUUAAAAACCCACCUUGCACCCCCCUUUAAUCAUGUUUUAACACCUUUACGUCAUAAUAGUGAUAAAAAACUUUCACUAGCAAUGAAUGAAAAAAUAAAACAAAUAUCUAUUUUGUUUAUUUUUAUAAAUUCUAAAGAACUUUCACGUUCAUUUAGAAAUAAAGGCUGGGCACAGCCCAACCACUCACUAACUUUUAGAGGCUAAUACUUGACUUGGCCAAUUCAGAUAAUGUCAUUUGAGAUUUAAACUUGACUUGUUAAAGUACUUGAUAUAUAUCAAAUAUGCGAGAAAAAUUAAUAUUUACAAAUUACUGAUCCAGUUUAUUACUUGAUAAAACUAAAUAUUUGUUUCUAGAUUACCUAUUACAGUAAAAACUUUAUAUUAAUGAUAUUGCGACUAUGAUAGUUUAUUAAUUUAGGGAAAAUUAUAUAUUUUUAUAUUUCUAUUUUAAAAUAUUUUUUAUUUAAAAAUAAAAUUAUUUCAAGAUAUCAUUUAAAUUUUAUAGAUUUAUAUUUCAUCAUUUUUUCAGAUUAUUUGAUAUUUUAUGUAUGUUGAAUAUGUAUACAUGAAUUUUAUAAGAAAUUCAAGAAAAUAACACAAAAUAUAAAAAUGAAAAAUAAAAUUAGACAUAAAUGCAUUUUGAAGAAAAAUAAACAAUGAGAUAUUUUUCUUAUGUUUAUAUAAAAUUUAUAUAUAUAAUUAUUAUUAAUUUAUAAAUUUAAUGAAACCAUAUAUUUAGCUAAGAUUUUUAAAACAUUACUAUCUUAUAGAAUUAUAUUAUAUUUUAUAUCUACCCAUCUUAGGAUUCGAAGUCUUGUAAUUGUUGCAUUGUUUUACCUAUCAUUUGGUUCUCUUUUUGAUCAUUUAGGAGAAUUUAGAAUUCAUUUAGGUGCAUAGCAUUUUCAUUUGUGUUUAUUAAGUGUUAGAGAUACUUAUUGGAUUUGACGCAUGAAAUGAAGAAAAAGAGGUGAUUCUGAUCAAGAGACAGAGUGAAAGCAAGAGUCACAGCGGCCGUGAGCAGCGAUAUAGGUAUGCCGCUACGAGUCUUUUGUUACGAUAACUUGAAGACGCUGAGAUAAGAUCAUAAAUCACUGGGUAAGUUGUUGGUUCUUACAGCGGUCUAUUGCAAGCGCAGUGAACAAACCUCAACUUUCACUACUACCAUGUAGCGGUAUAGUAUAGCCGCUAUAGCUCUUAGAGACCAAAAACCAAAACUUGUCAAACACAUGUAGCGGUCCAAGAUAGAGGCAUGUGAAAGCCGCUAGAACAAAAUGUAAUGCACCAGCCAAAUGGUGGGAUGAGACAGCGGUGUAGCGUAACUUCUGUGAAGAAGAUGUCGAUUAUAAUCCCUGCCAACACUUACAUCGGUCUUCAGAAAAGGCUGCGACCUUGUUUCUGAACCGUUGUAGGUGCACAACGGUCUGCAGCGGUUUACUUUUGCCACUGUGAACCUCCUAGGAGUCAAUAUUCAUCGUCUAACCAGAUUUUAACCCAUUUUAUUUAGAGUCGUCCAUGUUUGUUGGGUCUACCCAACUCGCAUUUAGAGACCGCAUGUAACACCCCCAAACCGUUCUAGGCAUAAGUCGAACCACCGGCCAACAAUCAAACAAGAACAUGACCGACGGGCCGACCGUCUACCAAGGAUCGGGAGCGCUACAUGACGGGUUAACGGUCGAUCCGGCCAAAGUCACGAAAAGUGCAAUUUACGACUAGGACAGUCCGCCCGCUAACACGUCCCGUCAGACCAAAGCUUAAGGCUUCUCAACCCGUACCCCAAUCUGACGUUGUGUUAGCUUGGACAAGCUAAUAUCAGAAACAACAAGGCAUUUACACAAAACAUCGCUUUAUUUAUCUUAUAUAAUAUCUGGUUUUCAACACACAAAAUAUUACACAAGUAGUGGAAUGCCAAGCGAGAAAAAGUACAUACUUAUAGUCUGAAUGCGUCUCAAGCAAAAAGAUACAAAUCUACACCAGCCGGCCUAGCCUCCCGCGACCUCUACAAGCUCGCUACUGGUCACCUGAAACAACAACGAGUGAGGAGUGAGUAAUCUAGCAUUACUCAGCGAGUUACAAUCCCCAACUAACAAAUACAACCCCUCACUAUCCCACCCCAAGCAAUCUAAAGCGAGAGGUUCACCUAACAACAAAUCAACCCAAUUCAACGAAUAACAAUAAGCAAUAUCAGAAAUACGCAGCUGGAAAAAGAUAGUAAGAUAACUAGCAUAUGCUAGCUCACCACCAACUCAACCUUGAAAUAAAUUACGGUUUAUCAACCCAAAACACGAUUUAAUAUAUAUAACUAACUCGGGCCCUGGUGACAUUAUGUUCCUCCUUUACUAUCGGCAAUAUCCUAUCUUCCUACCACAAAGGCCAGAAGUAGGAACUUUCAACCGACCGCGGCCCACAGUCCUUCGGGUCACCGCGCGACAGCCCACAGUCCUUCGGGUCACUGUCACAUUACACCGUCGUGUAAUACUCAGCCAUAGGACAUGACCCCGUUCGUCUGAGUCUUCCCGAUCCAGCGAAUAAGGGGUUUCCUUGAACCCGCCGGGUACGAGGUCUGAAGGAACACUAACUCACCCCAAUAUGCCUAGCAUUGUGGAUUACACAAAUGCUGUCGGCCAAUAUACGAUUAAUACUAAACCCGGUAAAAAUAACACAAGGUUCCUAGUAUUAAUCACCACACAAUCAACACAUUCCACCUCAAACAUGCCUAGCAUUGUGGGUUACACAAAUGCUAUAUGGCUAAAAUAUGAUUAAUACUAAACUCGGUAAAAAUAACACAAGGUUCCUAGUAUUUAAUCGUAAAUUAACACAAUCAAUCAUAAUCCAGAAUCUAGCAUAAAGACUAAUUCCAGAAUACCUAACUAUCCAGAACUUUGCGAUAUCAUCUAAGUAUUCCGCAUUCGCUAACUAACCAAUCAACCUAACCAUUAGCAUGCUACUACGGUUCUCAAACAAUAACAAGCAUGCCAUCAACUCAAUCAACAUAACCUCAAUUAUUCAAACCGUUACUCAGUUAGACCCGGCCAUCUGCCAUGAUCCAACUUCCAAGUAACGGGACCCUGCAUAAAAACAACUCAGCAAUCAAUCGAUUAUAACUCACAGUUUUUGGUUGACCGUUGGCUUGACCCCAAACCCGACUUUUGCGAUCUGAACCCUUUCUCGACCUUCUCAAGUAGACCCACGUCCAGACUGGUCUUGAACUGGUCUCCACUAGAACUUAUCUCCCUUCACUUGAAAAGAACCUUCUCCAGGUGCUGACUAAAAAUCGGCAGAAUAACAGUUCUCGAAAACUGCCUAAAUCGCUCGAAAACUAUCGAAACUCGAUCUUUCUUUCUUUGCUUUCUCUCUCACGUUUUGAACUGACUUUCAAGUGUUCUGAAUGUGUUCAAAUGAGAGGGGGUCGUGGGCUAUUUAUAGGAAACAUCAACCAAUCAGGAACAAGCCGUGUGGCAGCCCGUGUGUCGUUUCACAUGGCUCUGGACGCAUGCGCGGCGACACCUCGUGCUCCACAUGGCUGGCUGCAUGUCUCAGUCUCAUGCAGGAUGACACCACGCACUCUAGCUGUCUGGAUGCAUGGCCUGGAUCCAUGCAAGGAGACACCACUUCCUCCACAUGUCUGGCCGCAUGGCCCGGUCGCAUGUAUCGCUACACCUCGUGCUUGGCUGAUCCACCUCGUGCUUCUAUGUGUCACUCCGCAUGCUGUGAUCAUUUUUACUGCAAAACCUCAUGCUUCUCUUGCCACAUACCAUGCCAGGCAGUUGUCACCACGUCCUGAUCUCAUAGAUCGAGCCACCUCGAGCUUCUCGGUCCAUUCGUCCAAUUUUGGCCUUUCCGGUGAAUUUUUUGUCCCGCGAUCAAUCCCAAUAUUUUUCGACGCCCGUUCUGAUGAUCUGAUUAUUUUUAUGUCUACACUCAUCGACCACUAUUCAGUUUUCACACUUUCCAGUUUCAAUGUUUUAGAUUUGCUUGACAACCUUCUUCGCAUUCAAUAUAACAUUCUACUUUUAAUAAGAAACGCAACUUCAAAUAAUCACCACUUCCACUCCAAUAGCACUUCCACUCCAAUAGCAUGUUGAAAGACUAUGAUUUCAACAUAUAGAGUAAUUACUCUUAUAACAUACACAAAAAAUUUUUACCCACAACCCAAUCCUUGUGAAUCUAAAAUAUUACAAACCACAGAUAACGCACCGAAUAUGGUAUCAAUUUUUUGUAAAAUGAAACAACAUGAAGACCAUUUGACGCUCUCACAGCAUAUAAUGUAUAAUGCCACAUCGCUUUAAUAUAGAAACAAAUAUUGUUCUUUUUGUUUGCCAAACAACUAUUGUAAACAAGCAAAACAUAUCUUACCAUAUAUAAUUCUUCCUCACUUGAAAUUUUCUAAAAGACAAAAAUUAUUAUCAUACACAUCUUUUACAAAUGCAAACCUAAAACACAAACCAUAAGUAAACUAUAUGCUGUGAGAGCGUCAAAUGACACUUUAUAGAAAGCCUUCCUGAUUGUGCAUGAUAUUUUCUUGAACUCGAGUUAUAUGCAUAUUUAGAAAACAUUACCGAAUAAGUAAACUAGUUCUUAUUGAUUAAGAAAUAUUGAUAAAUAUGUAUAAUAUCUUCGUAAAAUUAAGAAAACUUUCAUAAAUAUGUAUUUAAAAAUAUAUUCUUAAAUAUAUUUAGGAAAUCUUCAUGAAUAUAUAUUUAUGAAUCACUUAGUGAAUUUGAACUAUAUAUAUAUUUAGUAAAACAUUCUUAAAUAUGUAUAACAUUUUCCUAAAGUUUUAAAAAGACCUUUCUGAAUUUGAUAUCUAAAUUUUAUAAUGAUAUUAUACGUGUGUAAAGAUGCAUGUAAGUCAAAUUCAAGAAGAAGUCAUACACAUUUAAGAAGACCUUCUUAAAUAUACAUACAAAUUAUGAAUGUAUAUUUAUGAAUAAGUUAUUGAAUUUGAAUUAUAUGUAUAUUUAGUAAGAUAUUCUUCAAUAUGUGUACCACUUCCUAAAUUCAUAGAAAUACUUAAUUUGAUAUCCAAAUUUUAUAAAGAUUUUAUACAUAUUUAAAUAUGCAUAUAAGUCAAAUUUGAAAAAAUGUCAUACAAACUUAGGAAAAAAUUUCUAAAUAUACAUACAAGUUACAUUCAAAAAGUACACAUACACGAUUAUGAAGGCAUCUUAAAUUCGAGAAUUGUAUUUUACAAAUACGGAAAGAUAUGAUACAUAUUUUUGAAGGUAUUCUAAACAUUUAAAAACGGUUCCUAAUUUUUGUGGAAAUUUUCUUUUUGAAAAAGAAUUUGAGAAACAAAUUUCGAAAACGUAUUUUUCUGAAAAAAAUUAAUUUUAAAUUUUAUUAAUAUUUUAAUUAUUAAUAUUUAUUUAUUUUUUAUAUUUAAUAAAUAAUUGGGUAAAAUUAUAAUGAGUGUGUAUAAUUACCAUUUACCCUUUUAAUGGAAUUUAAUUUGGUCAUUUUGAUCUUUUUAAGGCUAUUUAAGAAACAAAAACUUAAAAAGACUUUUUAAGAGAUUUGGCUAAAUUAUUUAGUUUGAAGGUAUUUUUACAAACGGUUGAUCAAAAAAAAAAAAAAAGGGUAUUUUUACAAACUUUCUUUAUUAUAUUUUUCUCUCAAUAUCCGCCGAGUAUGUUAUCGACCGAAUGGACCAAAGCCUGUUUGAAAAAGUUCCGGAUAACUAAAUGGGUCCCUUAUGGGCUAAUGUUACUAAGGCAAAAAGCUUUGCUAAUUGCAAUUGAUCCUUCUAAUUUCAAUUUUCUCAGUAGUCAGAAACAAGUCAAACAAUUGUUCUGGAAGUACCUCGUUUGCACUCUUUUCCUUUCGAUCUCAGCGAGUUGGGAGAGAACAUGGAGACGAAGAAAGAAGAAGUGACUCCUCUCAAAGGAUGUCUGAAAACCAGACAAGACAUGAAGAGAAUCGAGGAAACAGAGGACUGCUUCAUCCUCGAUUUCAAUCCUUUUGAUUCUUUUGACGUUAAGAAUCUCUCUUUUGCCGGUGAUCAUGAGGGUGACAAAGAUCUGGCUAUCAUCCAUGAGUCAGGCCAGGUUUGAGUUUUGAAACUUAGGGUUUAAUUAUAGGGUUUCUAUACUUCGUAGUUUUUUUUUUUUUGGAAAAUUUGAUAGAAUCUCUUUGAACAGGUAGCUUGUAGAAAUUUCCCACAUCCAAGACACCUUUGCUUGAAUUUUCCCUUUGGAUCAACUCCUAAUGCAACCCAUUGUCAUCUGGUAUAUACUUUAGUCUCAUUUUAAGUAAAGGGUUUCAAGUAAAAAGAAGUAUGGAAUGGAUUAUAUUGGUUCAAGACUCCUAUGAAACUGCCUUUUAUAUUAACAACAGAGGUCAACAUGAAUAUAUGCAGUGUUACUGUUGCAUCUGCGAUAAGCCUGCUCCUUGUGCACAGUGGAUGUCUUCGCAUUGCAGUGCUUCAGCAGACUCUGUGGAGUGGAGAACUAGGGAUUGAUAGAUGCGUAACUAUUUACAUCUUUUGUUAUUAGAUUAUCUUUUGUUCACAGUCUCCUUUGCAUUUAGACCUUUGAAUUGAUUAGUAGAUCAACAACAUAGCUUUUGAAGACUUAUGUAAUCACAAUGCCUAAUUACUUAAUAUGAGAUUUGUUAUGUGUGUGCGUGUGCUCUUGUUGGAAAUGCAUUUGCUUAGCUAAAUUAUUGUUUGCUGAGGGGUUCCAGUACGUACCUCGAUAAAACGGGGCAUAUUUACAGUGUCAUGAGUCGAUUUCAACGUUCAGAAAGCAUAAAACACAUUAUUGAUCCCAAGCCGGGACGGCCUGCAAGUCAUGUUGUUUGAAUAAUUAACUUGGGGAAAGAAUGAUAUCUAUAUAUUAACCACAUGAGUUUUAUAGACUGAAACGAAUGUAAUGUUUAAUCAUGUCAUGCCCAAAUCUGGACCUAGUCCCAAGUCCCAACUUGCAAGCUUCAAUAUACCUUAGGCUUUUUGCCACAUCAGUCUCGCGGCGACACCUCGUGCUCCACAUGGCUGGCUGCAUGUCUCAGUCUCAUGCAGGAUGACACCACGCACUCUAGCUGUCUGGAUGCAUGGCCUGGAUCCAUGCAAGGAGACACCACUUCCUCCACAUGUCUGGCCGCAUGGCCCGGUCGCAUGUAUCGCUACACCUCGUGCUUGGCUGAUCCACCUCGUGCUUCUAUGUGUCACUCCGCAUGCUGUGAUCAUUUUUACUGCAAAACCUCAUGCUUCUCUUGCCACAUACCAUGCCAGGCAGUUGUCACCACGUCCUGAUCUCAUAGAUCGAGCCACCUCGAGCUUCUCGGUCCAUUCGUCCAAUUUGGCCUUUCCGGUGAAUUUUUCAUCCCGCGAUCAAUCCCAAUAUUUUUCGACGCCCGUUCUGAUGAUCUGAUUAUUUUUAGUAAACUCCAAAUGAAUCCUGACUUGAUGGAAAAUAUUUCCCGAGUUUUCGGCUUCUUCGAAAAAUUCCAUAAUACCGAAAUUAGGGUUUUUCGCCCAAUUUCCGAUCUUCCUGUUGUGCUUCCAAAAGUGUCGUGCUUCCAAAAGUGUCGUGCUUCCAGAAGUGCUUCAAACGUCAUUUGAGUAAAUAUACCACAUUGUCUCACCAUUGUCUAGUGGGAUACUUGACUCAUGGUUCAGACAAAAACAAUCUGAUCGUCCGCGACUCGACCACCUAAAAGAUACUCGACCAUUCUUUUUUUUUUAAUGGGUUUCUACACCGCAUAUAUGUGUUUUAUGCAGAAAAAUCUAAUAUGUCUCGUCUUCUCUCUAAACACAUGUUUAUUUGGUGAAAGACUCAAUCUUUAGCAUCUUUAAUCUAUUUUCAUCUUUGAAUUUGUGUUUGUUAUGUUUAUUUACCUAUCUAGUAUGAUUAGUCUUAAAUUUUACAUGGGUUUAAGGGUUUUCAUUAAUAGACUCAUCUUGAAUCCAUGGUUAGAUAGGUUUAGGGUGAUUAGUGAAAAGUUAAAGUAUUUAUUGUUAAAUAUACUUGUUUCUAUGCUUGAUAAGGAUUAUUAAUGCUAAAUUAUAUUUGAAUCCUUAGGCAGUUUCGGAAAAAACCCGUAUGUGAUAGCGUGAUCUUGAGAGAUUCUUGAUCCCAAAUUCAUGUUACAAUGACUAACGAGACCCAUCUUAUGGCAUAUGACCUUAAUGGCACGUAGCCUUGUUGGCACAUAGCCGCGUGAUCACCUGAUCUAAGUGGUACAUGGCCGGAUCAGGUGAGGAUAUCGUCGAUAUACUUCACUGAGCAUGUUUUUUUUCCUGAUUCUUAGGAGAAUAUCGUUGCAUGAGUCGGGAUAUAAACAGCAUGAUGCUACAAUGGGCAUGGAUUUUCGUCUAACAGAUGAUAAUCACUUAGAUCUGUAAGCAAUGUUGAGGGAAGAUUGUUGUUCUGCUUUGAGGCAGGAAUCCCUAGUUAUGAGGCCGGAGUAUAAUAUUGUAAUAGAAAUGCCCCAUUGAUUGGUGAAGUAUGGCUUUGAUUGCUUCUCAAUCUUUUUAAUUUUGCUUUUUUUUGUAGGAUUGUGCCGUUAGAGCCGAUUUAAAAAUUGAAUCAUCGAUUCUUGCUUCGGGUCCACUUUCCUUUUAUUGGUGGCUUCUCCGAGAAGAGAGCACAACUCUUUCUCUUAUCCUUUAUAUCUUGGUUUCCUUUCAUUUUCUACGAAUUCUUUUUGUUUUCUUUUCCUUAAAUUGCGAUUGUCUCUUUGCGAUCUCGCUUUCUUCAGGUUUUCAACUUCAGUCCUCCAUAAAUUCCUCUUUUCGCUCAGAAAACCAAGGUAAUCCUUAUGUUCUCUUAGUUGUAGAAUUCUAGGGUUUAGUCGAAUCUUUCGUUUUUAUUUUCCUUAGAUUGUUCACUUUUGUUUCUAUUACGCAGAUCAGAAAUGGAAGGUAACCCUAGCCAUAUUAUGUAUCCUUCCUUGUCCAUAGGUAGUAUGGUGAUGUAGAUAGAUAUUUAGAAAUAUUCUAAAUAUCUUAUUAAUUGUUUUUACUAAUUAUUUUAGAUAAUUAUCUUUAUUAUUUUAGGAUUUUCUAGUUUUAUUAUAUAUAUUCUUAAAUAUAUUUAAGAAAUCUUCAUGAAUAUAUAUUUAUGAAUCACUUAGUGAAUUUGAACUAUAUAUAUAUUUAGUAAAACAUUCUUAAAUAUGUAUAACAUUUUCCUCAAGUUUUAAAAAGACCUUUCUGAAUUUGAUAUCUAAAUUUUAUAAUGAUAUUAUACGUGUGUAAAGAUGCAUUUAAGUCAAAUUCAAGAAGAAGUCAUACACAUUUAAGAAGACCUUCUUAAAUAUACAUACAAAUUAUGAAUGUAUAUUUAUGAAUAAGUUAUUGAAUUUGAAUUAUAUGUAUAUUUAGUAAGAUAUUCUUCAAUAUGUGUACCACUUCCUAAAUUCAUUGAAAUACUUAAUUUGAUAUCCAAAUUUUAUAAAGAUUUUAUACAUAUUUAAAUAUAUAUGCAUAUAAGUCAAAUUUGAAAAAAUGUCAUACAAACUUAGGAAAAAAUUUCUAAAUAUACGUACAAGUUACAUUCAAAAAGUACAUAUACAUGAUUAUGAAGGCAUCUUAAAUUCGAGAAUUGUAUUUUACAAAUACGAAAAUAUACGAUACAUAUUUUUGAAGGUAUUCUAAACAUUUAAAAAACGGUUCCUAAUUUUUGUGGAAAUUUUAAGUUACAAAAAAAAAAAAUUGUGGAAAUUUUCUUUUUGAAAAAGAAUUUGAGAAGCAUAUUUUGAAGACGUAUUUUUUCUGAAAAAAAUUAAUUUUAAAUUUUAUUAAUAUAUUAAUUAUUAAUAUUUAUUUAUUUUUUAUAUUUAAUAAAUAAUUGGGUAAAAUUAUAAUGAGUGUGUAUAAUUACCAUUUACCCUUUUAAUGGAAUUUAAUUUGGUCAUUUUGAUCUUUUUAAGGCUAUUUAAGAAACAAAAACUUAAAAAGACUUUUUAAGAGAUUUGGCUAAAUUAUUUAGUUUGAAGGUAUUUUUACAAACGGUUGAUCAAAAAAAAAAAAAAAGGGUAUUUUUACAAACUUUCUUUAUUAUAUUUUUCUCUCAAUAUCCGCCGAGUAUGUUAUCGACCGAAUGGACCAAAGCCUGUUUGAAAAAGUUCCGGAUAACUAAAUGGGUCCCUUAUGGGCUAAUGUUACUAAGGCAAAAAGCUUUGCUAAUUGCAAUUGAUCCUUCUAAUUUCAAUUUUCUCAGUAGUCAGAAACAAGUCAAACAAUUGUUCUGGAAGUACCUCGUUUGCACUCUUUUCCUUUCGAUCUCAGCGAGUUGGGAGAGAACAUGGAGACGAAGAAAGAAGAAGUGACUCCUCUCAAAGGAUGUCUGAAAACCAGACAAGACAUGAAGAGAAUCGAGGAAACAGAGGACUGCUUCAUCCUCGAUUUCAAUCCUUUUGAUUCUUUUGACGUUAAGAAUCUCUCUUUUGCCGGUGAUCAUGAGGGUGACAAAGAUCUGGCUAUCAUCCAUGAGUCAGGCCAGGUUUGAGUUUUGAAACUUAGGGUUUAAUUAUAGGGUUUCUAUACUUCGUAGUUUUUUUUUUUUUGGAAAAUUUGAUAGAAUCUCUUUGAACAGGUAGCUUGUAGAAAUUUCCCACAUCCAAGACACCUUUGCUUGAAUUUUCCCUUUGGAUCAACUCCUAAUGCAACCCAUUGUCAUCUGGUAUAUACUUUAGUCUCAUUUUAAGUAAAGGGUUUCAAGUAAAAAGAAGUAUGGAAUGGAUUAUAUUGGUUCAAGACUCCUAUGAAACUGCCUUUUAUAUUAACAACAGAGGUCAACAUGAAUAUAUGCAGUGUUACUGUUGCAUCUGCGAUAAGCCUGCUCCUUGUGCACAGUGGAUGUCUUCGCAUUGCAGUGCUUCAGCAGACUCUGUGGAGUGGAGAACUAGGGAUUGAUAGAUGCGUAACUAUUUACAUCUUUUGUUAUUAGAUUAUCUUUUGUUCACAGUCUCCUUUGCAUUUAGACCUUUGAAUUGAUUAGUAGAUCAACAACAUAGCUUUUGAAGACUUAUGUAAUCACAAUGCCUAAUUACUUAAUAUGAGAUUUGUUAUGUGUGUGCGUGUGCUCUUGUUGGAAAUGCAUUUGCUUAGCUAAAUUAUUGUUUGCUGAGGGGUUCCAGUACGUACCUCGAUAAAACGGGGCAUAUUUACAGUGUCAUGAGUCGAUUUCAACGUUCAGAAAGCAUAAAACACAUUAUUGAUCCCAAGCCGGGACGGCCUGCAAGUCAUGUUGUUUGAAUAAUUAACUUGGGGAAAGAAUGAUAUCUAUAUAUUAACCACAUGAGUUUUAUAGACUGAAACGAAUGUAAUGUUUAAUCAUGUCAUGCCCAAAUCUGGACCUAGUCCCAAGUCCCAACUUGCAAGCUUCAAUAUACCUUAGGCUUUUUGCCACAUCAGUCUCAAAUCACAUAUAUAGAGGAUUGUUUUAUAUUAUUCUUAUAAAUAAAAACACAAGUACAAUUUAUUGAUAAACAGCUCGCACGGCAACCAUGAUUAAGCAUCAUAGUUUAAGACUUUAAAUCGAAAAAGAUCACAUGAGUACAACAAUUAAGCUGGUGAAGUAGACGUAAAAGAGAGAGCAUGCAUGUUUAUUUAUAAAGCACCACUAAGAAAGCUUUUUCUCAGAUCUUCUUGAGCAGCUCAAUAACGUAAACACCAAAAACGUUGCAAACAACUUUGAUGCCUUCGAAGCCUGAUCCUUUGGCUAAUGCCUCAUACUCUUUCUCGGUCCGUUCUUUGCCUCCAGGAUUGAGAGCCAACAUAAUGCAAUCGACAUUGACUACUUGUUUGGUCGACAGGCUCGAGUCUAGUGUCUCUGGAAGUAUACACUCUGCCAAGAUCACUUUUCCAUUCUCUGGAAGCGCCUCGUAACAAUUCUUUAAGAAUUUUAAACAGUGUUCGUCACUCCAGUCAUGGCAUAUCCACUGUUACAACAAUGAGAAGAAUCCAAAGAGAGUUAUUUGAUCAUCAUUUCAUAUAAUGCCAAGAGUUUUCAGUAUAUGUAGUUAGUAUUAUUUCGGAUCCGAACCUUCAUGAAAAUAGCAUCUCCUUUGGGAACACUUACAAACAUAUCUCCUCCAACAUGCUCAACACCUACAAAAUUUGUUUAGAAUCCAAUCUUCAUCAAAUUUAAACACAAAAACCAGGAUUUUGCAACAUGCCGAGAAUAUGUUAAUAUUAAAAAAAAGAAGUUAAUAUUACCGGGAUGAGAAGGAGCAUCUUCGAUGACAUGAGGGAGAUCAAAGUUGAUGCCUUUAAGAUUAGGGUACUUAGAGACAAUCAUUUUGAGAGUAGCACCAAUGCCACCCCCGACAUCAACCAAGGAGACCAAACCCUCAAAACCAUUAUAGGUCUCAAGAAUCUUCUUCAUGGUGAUGGUGGAAUGGUUAGACAUUCCAUUGUUGAAAACCUUGUUGAAUCUAAGGUCAGUCCCAUGGUACUCAAACGCGCUCAUGCCAUAAGCUUUAUUGAAUGGAAUCCCACCAUCAAGAAUUGCAUCCUUCAAAUAGUACCUGCAACAAAACUCUUUGGCAUGAGUUUAACAAAACAAACAAACAAUCUCUCCUUUAGCUUAACUAACCCAUCAGCAUUUUUCUUAAAAGAUCAAUUAAGUCUUUAUCACUAAUUAUAAAUCUGUUCUGAAAUUGUAUGACACAAUUUGUAUUUAUAUUAUAACUUAUUGAAAACUAUCAAAUAUAUAUUAUAUUGUUGAGACAUAGUGUUUUCUAAUCCCCUAUAUACAGUAGAAUCUCUAUAAAUUAAUACUCGAUAAAUUAAUAAUCUCUAUAAAUUAAUAAAUUUUCUCGGUCUCAACUUGAGUCUAUUCAAAAUUUGACACAAAUCGAUAAAAUAAUAAGAUAAUAAUUUUUUUUAGAAAAAUUUAUGCAAAUAUAUGAUCCCAUUAAAAUCAUAAAAUAAUAAUUUAUAUGUAUGCAUAUUAUAUAUAAAUAAGUACAUAUUAUUAUAAUGUUUUUUAUAAUCACAAUGGAAUUAUCUUUAUAUUUUCUUAACACUUAAUAUUUUUGAUGAGAUUUAGUAAUAUUAUAUUUAAAACCACAUUUAAGUUCUAUGAAAUAUAUAUUAUAUAUACACCAAAUAAUAUAAUAUAAUUAAUAUAAAUGUCAAUUUCAGAAAAUGACGAUUAAUGUCUAUACACUAAAAUCAAAUAUUUUUCUUAUCUUAGAAUAAAUAUAUCUUAAAAUAAGAAAUCUAAAUAAUGAAAUUUUUUAAUAAAUUAAUAUCUCUAUAAAUUAAUAAAAUUUCAAAGUCCCAAUAUUAUUAUAUACACCAAAUAAUAUAAUAAAAUUAAUAAAAAUGUCAAAUUUCAGAAAAUAACGAUUAAUAUCUAUGCACUAAAAUCAAAUAUUUUUGUUAUCUUAGAAUAAAUAUAUCUUAAAAUACGAAAUUUAAAUAAUGAAACUUUUGUAAAUUAAUAUCUCUAUAAAUUAAUAAAAUUUCAAAAGUCCCAACAUUAUUAAUUAUAGUGGUUCUACUGUAUAUGAUUUGAGGAUCAUUUAAAAAGAUGUAACCUGUUAUAAAUUAUGGAGUGGAUUGCCAUUAACCAACACAAGAGGAGAAAGCCCGUCGGCCACAUCAAGCCCAACCGUGGCCGCAAGGAGGAGAGAGAGUCGGCCACAGCCUUAGCUGACUUAGGAUAUAAAUAGUUUCAUUUUCCUAUGUUUUAGUAGUUUUCCUAUUUCCUCUUUGGAUAAGGAUAUGUACACUUUCCUUUUAUCUUUAUCUUGUAAUCCUUAUGUAAACGAACCCCCUUGAUCAUUAAUAAGAACACAGAAGAAUUCAGUCUCUAAACUCUCUAUUUACAACACGUUAUCAGCACGGUAGACUCCAAAACCCUGAGACAAAACCUAACCUAAAAUUCAUCACACAUAAACCCUAAAUCAGGCGCAACUUAAAAUCGAUCUAUCUCUCUAACCCUGAGGAACCAGACAACAAGCCACAUAUCAAUUUGAAGCUCUGGACGAGACAAAUCCAUCAGCGCAAACCGUUCGUCGAUCCGAUCUCAGACGCGCCCUCACUCGCAGAAACAAUACGCGGCGCCGUCUUGGUCUUUUGGAACCCUAAUCCCGAAAAAUCCUAAAUUGUUCUUGCUUGCGUUCCGGCUUGCAAACUCCGAUCAAGCUCAACUCCGAUCAAGCUCAGCUCCAGACGUUCCCUGUCCGUGAUCAACGUCCUCAGCCUCAGCACAGCUUGCGUCCAGCUCAGACCAAAUCCCCGACCAAACACAACCGUCUGCGAGAAGAUACAAGCUCGCGAUAGCCCUCGGCAACGCGACCCGAUAGGAGCCGUCUCACGCCCGUUCGUCUUAGCUCGUCUCUGAUCUUUGGAGGUCCGGUUUCUACAAUCUGCAAAACAAGGGUAAUCCUAAAUUCUAAGAACAUGAAUCGAACCUGGUUGUUUUGUAAAGAUUGAAACCCUAAAAUCAGAACUCUAAAGAUGAAAGCCAUAUGAAAAAUAGAUCAAAUCCUAAAGAGUAAAUCGGAGCUCGAAUAAGUCUGAUCUCCUAAACCAUAAUUCGAGAUUGAUCCAUUGAUCAAUUAAAAUCAAAGUCUUAAUGAUUUUAAAUCUCAAAUCAAAUUCCCUUGAUCAAAGAUCAAAGUUUCGAAAACCCUAAAACCCUAAAUUGGAAAAUCGGUUUUAAUUGUUUGAUUUGAAACUUGAUUGUUUUACUUGAUCACCUAGAAAGAUUGCUAGGAUUGUUUAAACUCGAAUCUGAAUUGCUUGACUUGUUUAAACUAAAAAACUUGAUAAGCCCUUGAUUAUAUCAUCUCGUGGCCGUGUGGCCUUAUUGCCUUCAUACUCGAACUUGAUCACUACUGAUUGAUUGCAAUUGAACUUAGAUCUAAUUCCAGGGAUGAUGAAUUGAACUAAAAUAGCCGUGUGGCUCAUCUUGGCCGUAAGGCAUUGCUUGAAUGUUUAAAUGUUUAAAAACACUUAAUCUUGAUUUAUAUUCCUAAAGGCUUUGAAACCUUAAUCUUAAAAUCGAAUCCUACUAAUGUUUAAACCGAAACCCUAGAAUUGAUUAAGAUUAUUUGCAUACAUAUGAAUCUGAAUAUGGAUUGCAUUCAUACUGUUUAAAAGGAAUCGACCAGCAUCUAGUUUAUAAAAUCUUGAAACCGUUUGCAUUAAGUAGAACUACAUGGCCGUGUGGCUUGAUGAUUGUUUCGCACCAUGGUCGAUUAGAUUGCUUGAUUUUCAUAAAUGCGUAAGACAUGUUUGUGGCCGAGCUUGUUGAUUAUCUUGCGGCCACAUGAUCACAUUGUGAGACUUAAUUUUGAAUGAUGAUGUGAUUCAGAUGUCGAAAAUCUCAAACAGAGACUAUGCAGCCCUUAAUCUCUCCGGAGAUAACUACUUGCAGUGGGCGCUAGAUACAAAGAUCAGUCUAAGGUCAAAGGGACUUGGUGAUACUAUCAUCAAGGGCAACAAUGAGACCGAUAAGAAUCGGUACAUGGCUAUAAGUAUUAUACGCCAUCACCUCAUUGAAGGUCUAAAACAUCAGUACAUCACGAUGGAAAAUCCACUAGAACUUUGGAAUGUUUUACAUCAUAGAUAUGAUCAGCAGAAAACGGUGUUACUUCCAAAGGCUAGAAACGACUGGAAGAAUCUUAGAUUCUUGGAUUAUAAGUCGGUGGAUGAGUACAAUUCAGUCUUAUUUAAGACGGUCUCGAUGCUGAGACUUUGUGGUGAAGUAGUAACCAAAGAAGAGUUACUUGAGAAGACUUACUCUACAUUCCAUUCAUCGAAUGUGAUACUGCAACAGCAGUACAGAAUGAAAGGCUUCGCCACAUAUACUGAUCUGAUCUCGUGCCUGCUUCUGGCCGAAGCAAACAAUGAGCUCCUGAUGAAGAACAGUGAAGCUAGACCUGUUGGAACAGCACCAUUACCGGAAGGUAAUGAGGUUGAAAAGAAAGAACCCAACGAGUGCAAUUACGUCCAAAACAAUAAGAGAUCACACGGCAAUGGCCGUGGUGGUUACAAGGGGCGUGGCAGUGACAAUUACUCGAACAGCCGAGACAACUACUCGACCGGCCGGAAAGGAAACCACAAUAACCAUGGUCGUGGUUCCAAUUAUGGCCGUGGCCGAGUUAGUUAUGGCCCUGGUCGAGGCGGCAUAUCCAAACCGUCUUACUCGACCAAAUCCGUUUGUCACAGAUGUGGAAUGGGAAACCAUUGGGCCAAGAACUGUAGAACCCCUAAGCACUUAUGUGAGCUCUACCAAGAAAGUCUAAGUUAGUAUUAUUUCGGAUCCGAACCUUCAUGAAAAUAGCAUCUCCUUUGGGAACACUUACAAACAUAUCUCCUCCAACAUGCUCAACACCUACAAAAUUUGUUUAGAAUCCAAUCUUCAUCAAAUUUAAACACAAAAACCAGGAUUUUGCAACAUGCCGAGAAUAUGUUAAUAUUAAAAAAAAGAAGUUAAUAUUACCGGGAUGAGAAGGAGCAUCUUCGAUGACAUGAGGGAGAUCAAAGUUGAUGCCUUUAAGAUUAGGGUACUUAGAGACAAUCAUUUUGAGAGUAGCACCAAUGCCACCCCCGACAUCAACCAAGGAGACCAAACCCUCAAAACCAUUAUAGGUCUCAAGAAUCUUCUUCAUGGUGAUGGUGGAAUGGUUAGACAUUCCAUUGUUGAAAACCUUGUUGAAUCUAAGGUCAGUCCCAUGGUACUCAAACGCGCUCAUGCCAUAAGCUUUAUUGAAUGGAAUCCCACCAUCAAGAAUUGCAUCCUUCAAAUAGUACCUGCAACAAAAC
Molecule: long non-coding RNA, 22853 nt
Filed under: Brassica napus (rape)
Lineage: Eukaryota; Viridiplantae; Streptophyta; Magnoliopsida; Brassicales; Brassicaceae
Description: long non-coding RNA (BNAP_LNC016041)
Source: RNAcentral